CGGAGGGAUCAUUAAAGAGUUCUAUAACUCCCAAACCCAUGUGAACAUACCUAACGUUGCCUCGGCAGGUCGCACCUACCUUGUAGCACCCUACCCUGUAGGGCCUACCCGGGAGAUGCGGGUAAGCCUGCCGGCGGCCCACCAAACUCUGUUUGAUAUUGAAUUCUGAACAUAUAACUAAAUAAGUUAAAACUUUCAACAACGGAUCUCUUGGUUCUGGCAUCGAUGAAGAACGCAGCGAAAUGCGAUAAGUAAUGUGAAUUGCAGAAUUCAGUGAAUCAUCGAAUCUUUGAACGCAUAUUGCGCCCAUUAGUAUUCUAGUGGGCAGGACCGUUCGAGCGUCAUUUCGACCCUUAAGCCUUAGUUGCUUAGUGUUGGGAGCCUACGGCAACGUAGCUCCUCAAAGUUAGUGGCGGAGUUGGUUCACACUCUAGACGUAGUAAUUUUUUAUCUCGCCUAUUAGUUGAACUGAUCCCCUGCCGUGAAACCCCCAACUUAUCAAGGUUGACCUCGAAUCGGUUCAGACAAACUCGCUAAAUUGAAGCAUCUUAGUCAGCGAAGGAAAAGAAACCAACAGGGAUUGCCCUAGUAACGGCGAGUGAAGCGGCAACAGCUCAAAUUUGAAAUCUGGCCC
RNAcentral lists this ribosomal RNA (634 nucleotides) under fungal endophyte. RNAcentral describes it as "eukaryotic LSU rRNA". The stretch from base 191 to 344 matches the Rfam family "5.8S ribosomal RNA". The record is from RNAcentral. Lineage: Eukaryota; Fungi.